This is a small nuclear RNA of Panthera pardus (leopard), 61 nucleotides long. The record is from Ensembl. Lineage: Eukaryota; Metazoa; Chordata; Mammalia; Carnivora; Felidae.
GUGCUCGCUUCAGCAACACGAAUAUCAAAAUUGGAAUGAUACACAGAAGAUUAGCAUGGCC